UCAGACAUUUUUGAGUGUGAACAUUUCUUAAACAUGCAUGCAACACAAGGAAUAAGUUCCUGUUGCAGAUUCAAGACUUUCAGUGAGUCUUUCCAACAGGACAAUAACCCAAAAGGAGUUUGACCAGGAUUCCUAGCAAGGGGUUUUUACAAGUGGCUGGGACACUGACAAAUGAGCUAUUAUUUCACUUAUUCAGGUGGUUUUGUCCAUUGUAAAGACAGAGCAGGAAACAGGAAUUUCUGUAAAUGGUGGAUAUGUAGCAUUUUAUUUUGUUAUAUCAGCAAAACUGUAUUGUAUCUAGAGAGAUAAUGCCAGACAUAAUCAUAUGGAAAAUAGUAUUAAGGAAUAUAUAUUAGUUUAGCAAUGUACUAGCUGCCAUAGAAAAUGUUCAUGUCAUAACCAUUAGUACUUGAUUAGUAAUGCUGGCAGAAGCAGGAAUUUUUUUCUUCCCUUUUUUUUCUCCCUGUGACUUCAGCAUUGGUAGUCCUGGUGACCAGAAGGCUCACUCCAUCCAGAAACUGUGCAAGCUUUUCCCUGUACCUCAGUCCUAUAGAGGACAGGACGUCUUUAAAUUACUUUUAUGCUCUUGGUUCUUUUCCAGUCUGUGAAUAAGAGUCAAACAUCAAAGGAAUAAUGACUCAGUCACCACCAACUAGACUGAUACCCUCAAAUUAUUUAAAGUAGAUAAAUAAACCAUGGUGAACUCAUAAUUGUGAUUGAUAGUCAUAUUUUAAAAUUUGUAUUAAACACAGGUUAUCUAUGAUUCUAAGUUGUGCCUGGUACCUAUGUUGUGCCAGGUACCCUGCAGACACAAUAUUCUGCUUAACUUUUCCAGAUGAUAUGGCCCUGCAGACUUGAAAUCUGCCUACAACUUGAGCUGGGGUUGAGUGACUGUGAGCUGUUUGGUUUGAGAAAGAACAUAGUUUGACUGAUAUGAGGAAAUUUUUCCCACUCAAAAUCCAAAUGUUAAUGCUGCCUCGUGCUGUGACUCUGAUCUUUCUGCUGUUCUGGUUUAUCUGUUGAGUAGACUGACAUGCAAGUAUUAACUUUCUCUUUUAAAUACUGCCUCUGAUAUGACACAAACCCACUGUGGGCCAAGAAGACCUUGGUAUAAU
RNAcentral lists this long non-coding RNA (1115 nucleotides) under Ficedula albicollis (Collared flycatcher). RNAcentral's name for it is "lncRNA (ENSFALG00000026482.1)". Lineage: Eukaryota; Metazoa; Chordata; Aves; Passeriformes; Muscicapidae. The record is from RNAcentral.